RNAcentral lists this non-coding RNA (29 nucleotides) under Homo sapiens (human). The record is from RNAcentral. Lineage: Eukaryota; Metazoa; Chordata; Mammalia; Primates; Hominidae.
GCUCUUGGUUCAGGCGACUCAAGCCCUCA